Passer domesticus (house sparrow) is the source of this 547-nucleotide long non-coding RNA. RefSeq lists it as uncharacterized. Lineage: Eukaryota; Metazoa; Chordata; Aves; Passeriformes; Passeridae. The transcript is spliced from 3 exons. The record is from RefSeq and is a predicted model, not a curated record.
CUCCACCACUCGGCAGUGCGGCCGCUGGCCCCAAGCCUCCCAUUUCCCGUUCCAAAGAGCGAACACCUGGGGAUGCCCGGCCCAGGGCAGUGCCAAGAUCUGAUCAGGCAGUGUUUAUCCAUGCUGGACUUGGAAAGGCCCUCAUUAGAAGAGCUGUUCUGUGAUCCUUGGAUACAGGAUAUUCAUGUGCCCUAGAAGAAGGGAGAGAGUCACAGGCACACUUUGAUCCAGGGCCCUGGGAAGGAGAAGGAGCCCCUGGAGAUGCUGCACUGGGUGGGAAUGCUGCUGCUGCUGGAGACAGCGAGGAUGACAUCAAGGAUGACAACCUCUUCCUCCACCUGGCCACUGGCAAGCUGAAGAUGAUGGACUUUGAUUCUGGCACUUUCUUCAAAGCCAGGCUCCACAGCGAAUUUGCAGAUGAGUCCACACCCGGGGAAAUGCUCCCAGAUUUGGGCAUUGCCCAGCCUGGCUGGGAACCAAAGGUUCCCCCUUGGCUGGGGUGGAUGCAGCUGAUCCUUCAGUCGGCUGCCCAGCUGCUUUUGGCAGG